This is an RNA transcript of Beta vulgaris subsp. vulgaris (sugar beet), 938 nucleotides long. RefSeq lists it as uncharacterized. Lineage: Eukaryota; Viridiplantae; Streptophyta; Magnoliopsida; Caryophyllales; Amaranthaceae. The record is from RefSeq and is a predicted model, not a curated record. The transcript is spliced from 2 exons.
CCUCUGUCUAUUGCUUCCCAUAAAAUCUCAGAUAAAAUCACAAUUCACACCACCAAUAAUACUCCAAAUAGGACUAAAAUGAGUUAUUUGACUAAAAGUCAUGUGUUCAUAUUCUGCAUUUAUCUUUUACAAAUCCAAUUCAUUAAUAAUAUAUUUCUUCUAUGUACCACAAAAAAACCCAAUUAUUUAACAUUUGUCAUCUAUUACAACAUCUAAUUACCUCUCCUCACAAUCAUAUCUUUUUUCUUAAUGGCUAAGAAUCCUACAAAUUAAACACAACAUUCCUUGGCCUCUUAUUGGAAAAGCCCAUAAAUAAUAAAACCCAGAAAAUCUCAAAAUCAAAUUAUCUGUCAAUUAUUUAGUGGUUAAUCACUUAGCUCCGUAGUGGUAGGUCACUCUUACAAAUUAGUACCGACUUUUCUUCACUUCCCCUUUAAAUUAAAGCACUUGGCAUUUUCUCUAACCAAUAUCUUUUUUCCCCACACAAAAACCAAAAAAAAAAAACAAACAAAAAGAAAAUCAAAAAAAAUAUCAGGUGGAUCAAAAAUGGGAUCUGGAAAUUGCCACAUCUUCUGGGAAAUUCUAUUGGCCAUCAUCCUCCCUCCUCUUGGUAUCUGCUUGAGUGAUGGUUGUUGCAGUUGGGAGUUCUUGAUAUGUUUGGUGUUGACAAUACUGGGAUACAUUCCUGGGAUCAUCUAUGCAAUCUAUAUCAUCGUGGUAAAAAGUAAUCGCGACGCCGAAUCGGAGGGCAAUUACCGUCAACUUCCACAGUAGAUGAACGGAACAACCCUGCUUCCUAGCGUUGUAGAAGACACCUUUUGAUAUGGUUGUCACUUGUGGUUUUUGUUCAUCUCUAUAUGUUACUGUAUUUUGUUUUUAAGUUUUCCAAAGUUGCUAAAGAAUCUUUUGUACUAAUAAAAAUAUGUCAUUUCACUGUA